Molecule: ribosomal RNA, 372 nt
Filed under: uncultured bacterium
Lineage: Bacteria
Description: bacterial SSU rRNA
Rfam family: Bacterial small subunit ribosomal RNA
Source: RNAcentral
CACGUAGGGGGCGAGCGUUGUUCGGAAUUACUGGGCGUAAAGGGCAUGUAGGCGGCCUUGUAAGCCUGGCGUGAAAGUCACCGGCUUAACCGGUGGAUUGCGUCGGGAACUGCGAGGCUUGAGUCACGGAGAGGGAGCUAGAAUUCCUGGUGUAGGGGUGAAAUCUGUAGAGAUCAGGAAGAAUACCAAUGGCGAAGGCAAGCUUCUGGCCGAUGACUGACGCUGAGGUGCGAAAGUGUGGGGAUCAAACAGGAUUAGAUACCCUGGUAGUCCACACUGUAAACGAUGUGCACUAGGUGCCGGGGCGGAUGCCUCGGUGCCGGAGCUAACGCGGUAAGUGCACCGCCUGGGGAGUAUGCUCGCAAGGGUGAA